RNAcentral lists this ribosomal RNA (783 nucleotides) under Triticum aestivum (bread wheat). RNAcentral's name for it is "partial small subunit ribosomal RNA". Lineage: Eukaryota; Viridiplantae; Streptophyta; Magnoliopsida; Poales; Poaceae. The record is from RNAcentral.
AUGGGCUGGGUGCAGGACCCUCAUAUUCAAGAGCUGCUUCUCAAGCAGACGGAUAAUGCAAGAGCUGCCGCCCGAGAGAAAGCCAAGCUGGAUCAACUGGAGAUAGAUGCGGUUACUCCAUUGUAUGAAGGAUGCAGGCCCGAGGAUACCCGCCUGAAAGUAACGCUCAUGGCUCUGGAUAUGAAGGUAAAACACAAAAUGACCGACGCAUGCUUCGACGAGAACAUGUCAUUCUGGCACGAAUGUCUUCCCAAGGGGAACAAGUGCCUGACCAGUUUCGAGGAGGCAAAGAAAAUUGUGUGUCCUCUGGAUUUACCGCACGUGAAAUACCAUGUGUGCAUGAAUAAUUGCAUCAUUUAUCGGGACGAGCACGCGGAGUCUACCAUAUGUCCGGUGUGCGGCGUCACUCGAUACAAGAAGAGGAAGAAAGCUCCUCGAAAGGUGGAGUGGUACUUUCCGAUCACUCCUCGUCUGCAGCGGUAUUUCGCGGACCCUAAGGUAGCAAAGCUCCUGCGUUGGCACGCGAAUAGGGAGGAGAAGAAGCGAGAAGAUGACGCAAAUGAUCUGGAGAUAAAUAAAAAAGACAAGAUGACGAGUCACCCUAAGGAUGGGAGCCAGUGGCAAGCGUUGAACUUCGAACACCCAGAAUUUGGGAACGAUCCAAGGAACAUCAUGCUGGGCGCGAGCAUCGAUGGAGUCAAUCCGUCUGGCAGCCAGAGAAGCACACAUAGCACCUGGCAUGUGUUUUUGUGGAUGUACAACCUUCCCCCUGGUUGUGCAUGA